This is a small nuclear RNA of Octodon degus (degu), 141 nucleotides long. RefSeq annotates it as U4 spliceosomal RNA. The record is from RefSeq and is a predicted model, not a curated record. The transcript has a single exon. NCBI's taxonomy places the organism in Eukaryota, Metazoa, Chordata, Mammalia, Rodentia, Octodontidae.
AGCUUUGUACAGUGGCAGUAUCAUAGCCAAUGAGGUUUUAUCUGAGGCAUGAUUAUUGCUAAUUGAAGACUUUUCCCAGAUGACAAGUUAGCAAAUGAAAAGAUACUGUACCUCAUAUAUUAUUAAAGAAUUUCAAAUAAG